GCCGGGCAGUGGUGGCGCGUGCCUUUAAUCCUAGCACUUGGGAGGCAGAGGCAGGCGUAUUUCUGAGUUCGAGGCCAGCCUGGUCUACAGAGUGAGUUCCAGGACAGCCAGAGCUACACAGAGAAACCCUGUCUCAAAAAAAAAAAAACAAAACAAAACAACAACAACAACAAAAAAAAAGACAGGGUUUCUCUGUGUAUCCCUGGCUGUCUUGGAAGUUUGCUCUGUAGACCAGGCUGGCCUCGUAAGAGGUUCACCUGCCU
RNAcentral lists this long non-coding RNA (263 nucleotides) under Mus musculus (house mouse). RNAcentral's name for it is "long non-coding RNA chr7:144791227-144791490". The record is from RNAcentral. Lineage: Eukaryota; Metazoa; Chordata; Mammalia; Rodentia; Muridae.